UACAGAGGGUGCGAGCGUUAAUCGGAAUUACUGGGCGUAAAGCGCACGUAGGUGGCGACGUAAGUCGGGUGUGAAAGCCCCGGGCUCAACCUGGGAAUUGCAUUCGAGACUGAAUAGCUAGGGUGCGGUAGAGGGAAGCGGAAUUUCCGGUGUAGCGGUGAAAUGCGUAGAUAUCGGAAGGAACAUCAGUGGCGAAAGCGGCUUCCUGGACCGACAUUGACGCUGAGGCGCGAAAGCCAGGGGAGCAAACGGG
RNAcentral lists this ribosomal RNA (253 nucleotides) under uncultured bacterium. RNAcentral describes it as "partial 16S ribosomal RNA". It matches the Rfam family "Bacterial small subunit ribosomal RNA", at positions 524 to 776 of the family's 1533-position model. The record is from RNAcentral.